This 786-nucleotide ribosomal RNA is filed under the name uncultured bacterium. RNAcentral's name for it is "bacterial SSU rRNA". It matches the Rfam family "Bacterial small subunit ribosomal RNA", at positions 8 to 796 of the family's 1533-position model. The record is from RNAcentral.
AGAGUUUGAUCAUGGCUCAGAACGAACGUUGGCGGCGUGGAUUAGGCAUGCAAGUCGAACGAAUCCCGGCGCGGGGUAACUCGCGCCGGGGGAAGUGGCGAAAGGGGCAGUAAGGCGUGGACAACCUGCCCGGGGGACGGGGAUAGCCGCUCUAACGAGCGGGUAAUACCCGGCGACCUGGCCGAGGGGCAUCUCUCGGCCAGCAAAGGAGUUUCGCCCCCGGAGGGGUCCACGUGGUAUUACCUGGUUGGCGGGGUAACGGCCCACCAAGGGGAAGAUGCCUAGCAGGUGUGAGAGCACGACCUGCGCCACUGGCACUGGGACACUGGCCAGACUCCUACGGGAGGCUGCAGUCGAGGAUCUUCGGCAAUGGGCGCAAGCCUGACCGAGCGACGCCGCGUGUGCGACGAAGGCCUUCGGGUUGUAAAGCACUGUCGGGGGGACGAAAGGCCGCAAGGCUUGAUCGGCCCCCGGAGGAAGCACGGGCUAAGUUCGUGCCAGCAGCCGCGGUAAGACGAACCGUGCGAACGUUGUUCGGAUUCACUGGGCUUAAAGGGCGCGUAGGCGGGCCGGCGAGUCGGGGGUGAAACCGUUCGGCCCAACCGGACGAGGGCCCCCGAUACCGCCGGCCUCGAGGGGGGUAGGGGCGUGCGGAACUUCCGGUGGAGCGGUGAAAUGCGUAGAUAUCGGAAGGAACGCCGGUGGCGAAAGCGGCGCGCUGGACCCCGCCUGACGCUGAGGCGCGAAAGCCAGGGGAGCGAACGGGAUUAGAUACCCCGGUAGUCC